Molecule: long non-coding RNA, 257 nt
Filed under: Mytilus galloprovincialis (Mediterranean mussel)
Lineage: Eukaryota; Metazoa; Mollusca; Bivalvia; Mytilida; Mytilidae
Source: RNAcentral
UGUCGUUUGUCUUAUCAUCGAGGGAUCUUACUCGGGUAUAUAAAACAUCGGCUUGGGGCAUGCGAACACAAAUAAACAAUGUUUAGGUAUACAAAACACGACAUAGAUACCCGAGUAAAGUUAAGAGAUUUGGUUUGAUUGCCAAUGAGACAAAUAUUCGCCAGAUUUGUAAUGAUGUGACUGUAACAAUUAUGUGUCACUAAAAGGCCACUAUGCCUUUGAAAAUGGCAAACAUUUGAAAAAAGAAACUAACGGCC